CCAAUAGCGUAUAUUAAAGUUGUUGCAGUUAAAAAGCUCGUAGUUGAAUUUCGGAAUCUGUCCAUCGGUCGGGCUUCACUGUCCGUACUGGUGUGGUGGGUUCUUACCUUCUGAAUAACCAGCAUGCCAUUCAUUUGGUGCGUUGGGGAAGCAGGACUAUUACCUUGAAAAAAUUAGAGUGCUCAAAGCAGGCUAGUGCCUGAAUACAUUAGCAUGGAAUAAUAAAAUAGGACGGCAUGGUUCUAUUUUGUUGGUUUCUAGGAUCACCGUAAUGAUUAAUAGGGAUAGUUGGGGGCAUUAGUAUUCAAUUGUCAGAGGUGAAAUUCUUGGAUUUAUUGAAGACUAACUUCUGCGAAAGCAUUUGCCAAGGAUGUUUUCAUUAAUCAAGAACGAAAGUUAGGGGAUCGAAGACGAUCAGAUACCGUCGUAGUCUUAACCAUAAACUAUGCCGACUAGGGAUCGGACGAUGUUAAUUUUUUAAUGACUCGUUCGGCGCCUUACG
RNAcentral lists this ribosomal RNA (502 nucleotides) under uncultured Glomeromycotina. RNAcentral's name for it is "partial small subunit ribosomal RNA". It matches the Rfam family "Eukaryotic small subunit ribosomal RNA", at positions 591 to 1092 of the family's 1831-position model. Lineage: Eukaryota; Fungi; Glomeromycota. The record is from RNAcentral.